Molecule: ribosomal RNA, 400 nt
Filed under: Eucorydia purpuralis
Lineage: Eukaryota; Metazoa; Arthropoda; Insecta; Blattodea; Corydiidae
Description: partial 12S ribosomal RNA
Source: RNAcentral
UAUUAUUUGUGGAUUUAAAUAUUUACUGACUUGAGUAGUAGUAGUUAUGGUCUUGAAACUUAAAGAAUUUGGCGGUAUUUUAGUCUAGUUAGAGGAAUCUGUCCCGUGAUCGAUAUUCCGCGAUGUAUACUUACUUAAUUUUGUGUUUAUAUACCGCCGUUCUAGUAGUAUAUCUUAUAAGAGUUUAAUUUUCUCGAUUUUUUACUCUUUAGGAGUAUUUCAGGUCAAGGUUUAGUUUAUGAUUAAGUGGAGAUGGAUUACAAUAAUUUUUGUUUAUGAUGAAUUAUUGAAUGUAAUUUUGAUUUGAAGGUGGAUUUAAUAGUAAUUUGAUUUAGAAUAUUUAGGUGAUUUUAGCUCUAUAAUAUGUACACAUCGCCCGUCGCUCUCGUUAUAAGAUGAG